AUUUUUUCGAUCAUUGAUUCCAUGGCCAAAUUUCAACUGAUAUACAUUCUCAAUUAUAAUAAGUAAGCAUUAUAUUACAGUUAUCACAAGACUUGUCUGAAGGUCCCAUGGUACCAGUUGAAAGAAACGAACGGAGGUAUGGAGACUGUUUAGUGACAAGAAUAAGGGGUUAAAUACAUGUAAAAAAUCCUGAUCUUUCAUAAAUCUCUCAGAUAUUGGACAGACACUUCAGAACAAACUUCCUUUUGAUCUGUUGUUCCGUGUAGUGAAUCUAUUAUUCGAUGCAUUUGAAUAUGCUAAUAGCAGUAAGGUCCCCCAAAAAAUUCAUCCAAUCAUAUUUUUCUUCUGUUUUUUUUUUUAUUCUUCAAGGGGUCUUAAAAUUCAAAAAUCAAACAGCCAAAUGAUCCUUAGUAGAACCCCCACCCUCUGGCUUAGACAGGUUUUAAUAGGAAAGAGGAACCAAUUGUAGAUCGCAACAAAAUAUUUAUCUAUCACAUGCAGUAAGUUCCUCUGGAUAAGAGCGUCUGCUGAAUGACCAAAAUGUAAAUGUAAAAACAAAAACACUUGCAAAGCAUUCUGGAUAUUAUUCUAAUGAGCUCCGCCCCCAAACAAGUACAAAUUUGGCCGGUGCGGACCAGAUCCAAAUCUGAACGAAUCAUAGACGUCUAGGCUGUUUCACAAGUUUGAACAUCACAGUACAGUACGGCACAGUUUAGCACAGUAGAGUACGGUAGUUUUAUUCAGUCGAGUACAAUACAGUAGAGUUGAAUUAGAGUAGAGUACAGUAAUUCAGUACAUUAGAGUACACUACAGUAAAGUAUAGUUUAAUUCAGUACAAUACAUGUUAAUUCAGUAGAGUACAGUACAGUAUAGUUUAAUUCAGUAGAGUACAUGUUAAUUCAGUACAGUACAGUAUAGUUUAAUUCAGUAGAGUACAAUAGAGUACACUAUACUUUACUGUACUAAGUUACUGUACACUGCUGUCCAAACCUGUGAAACAUAGAUGUCUAUGAUUGGUUCAGAUUUGGUCCGGACCAAAAUUCAACAUCCCUGGGGGAUGAAAUUUAAAAAAUAUUUUUGAAAGACUGAGGACCGAAAAGAGAUGUCCAGAAGACAUCAAAACGCUUACUGGGAUGCUGUUUUAAGGGCAGUGGGGAUACAGGCCUAACAGUCAUAUUAUGCCAAUAAGUCCCUCCAAUGAUCUACUCUACUUAACCUAUACAGGUGCUCAUUCUCACAUAACCUACAGCAUACACAUUCACUAAGUUUAAUUCUCAUUGAUGGCAUGGCAGUAUUGAUCAAUCCAGAUCGGAGAUCUACCUGUAUCCCCCAUAUAAAAAGGUACUGUCCAUCUUGACUGUCUCCCAAACAAAAUCAACAAUAACCACAAACAUUCAUCCCACCACUCAAAAAUCACAAACCACCACUCCCCUUCCAGUAUCCUGAAGAAUACGUUUCCAUCCCCUACUUUCUCAUUUUAAUCAAGGACCCUUACCAUAAACCUGGUUGGUAGUUGGUAUCUUCUACCCAACCCUACCCUUUAAACCUAAACCAGGAUCAUAUCCUCUACCCAACCCUUCCCCUUGAACCAGGAUCAUAUCCUCUAUCCAACCCUUCCCCUUGAACCAGGAUCAUAUCCUCUACCCAACCCUUCCCCUUGAACCAGGUUAAUAUCCUCUAUCCAACCCUUCCCUUUAAACCAGGAUCAUAUCCUCUAUCCAACCCUUCCCUUUAAACCAGGUUAAUAUCCUCUAUCCAACCCUUCCCUUUAAACCAGGAUCAUAUCCUCUACCAAACCCUUCCCCUUGAACCAGGAUCAUAUCCUCUACCCCUUUGAACCAG
Oncorhynchus tshawytscha (Chinook salmon) is the source of this 1842-nucleotide long non-coding RNA. The record is from Ensembl. Lineage: Eukaryota; Metazoa; Chordata; Actinopteri; Salmoniformes; Salmonidae.